Molecule: long non-coding RNA, 1151 nt
Filed under: Homo sapiens (human)
Lineage: Eukaryota; Metazoa; Chordata; Mammalia; Primates; Hominidae
Description: HSALNT0056175
Source: RNAcentral
CUUAAGUUCGGAGGCCUGUGACUCACGUUGAAAUCAGCACCUCCAGGUGUGAGCGGAGGUGAUCUGGUCAGAAUGGCAACAGCACCCAUCCCACUACCCACAAGGUGAGCCUGACACCGUUACCAAGACUUCUGUCCUUCUGGAUUCAACAGGCUCAAGAGAUUGUCUGUGCCUCUUCUCCACUGUUUCAUUAGCUGAGAAAGGCUCUGGGGAGUCUAACAGCCAGGACAGACAAAGAGCAGUAAAACAAAUACUGAGGAACUCAAGAACCAUGUGAGGUUGACACCUGAGGUAUUACUUGGACUCUGUACUGCAAAGAACAUUUAUUCAUUCAACAAGCAUCUACUGAGUACCUCCGGUGUCCCAGGCACUGUGCUCGUGGCUGGGCUUACAGCUGUGACUUCAUAGAGGUUAGAUUUGAGUGUGUGCGUGUACACCUGGCAUAGGUAAACAAGCAAGUCAUUAAGAUAAUUUCAGAGUGAUAAAGAUGGUGAAGAAAAUGAGCAGGACGAAGUGAAACGGAGGAGUGGGGUGGGGGCAACUCCAGGAUGUGCGGUUGGGAAAGGCCUCUCUGAGGAGAUGAGGGGACAAGAAAGAAGCAGCCCUGUGAGGCCCCAGGAUGAGAACUUUCCACAGAGCGAGCAGCAAGUGCAAAGGCCCUGGGCUGCAUGGGAGCUCAGAGAAUCAGGAGGAUAGCAAGGAGGCUGCCAUGCUGGAGGAGAAUGAGGGAAGAGAGUGCAGAGGCCAGUUUGGAGAGGCUGAAUAAAGCCUGAGUGUGCGUGGUGCAGUGUUCAAUUUUUAUUUUUGAGGAUUUAUUUAUGUAUUUACUUGAGACAGAGGUCUUGCUCUGCCACCAGGCUAGAGGGCAGUGGUACCAUCACGGCUCACUACCGCCUCGACCUCCCUGGGUGCAACUAAUCCUUCCACCUUAGCCUCCUGAGUAACUGAGAACACAGGUGCAUGCCAUCUUGCUCUGCCAAUUUUUGUAUUUUUUGUAGAGAUGGCUUUUUGCUAUGUUGCCCAGGCUGGUCUUGAACUCCUGAAGUCAAGCAAUCCGCCCACCUUGGCCUCCCACCAUGCUGGGAUUACAGGCGUGAGCCACCGCACCCGGUUUUUUGAGGACUUCAAACAGCAAACAACAUAGUUUCCGU